This is a non-coding RNA of Acanthosepion pharaonis, 111 nucleotides long. The record is from the annotation of a GenBank genome assembly. Lineage: Eukaryota; Metazoa; Mollusca; Cephalopoda; Sepiida; Sepiidae.
CAGCCAUAUCACAUUGAAGCACCAGUACUUGUCUGAUCAUCAAAGUUAAGCAACAUUGAACCUGUUCAGUACCUAGAUGGGUGACCACUUGGGAAUAUCAAGUACUGUAAU